This is a non-coding RNA of Nicotiana tabacum (common tobacco), 955 nucleotides long. NCBI's taxonomy places the organism in Eukaryota, Viridiplantae, Streptophyta, Magnoliopsida, Solanales, Solanaceae. The record is from RefSeq and is a predicted model, not a curated record.
CCAUCAUUCACACGAAAAGAGGGGGAGUAUUUUGCAGAGAGAUAGAAGGGAUACACAAAAAUACAGUAAGUCAGGGGGAGACAUAGGAACUGGGAAAAAAUUAGGAAAAAACGUAACCUUCUUCUUUCUUCUCUAGCAUCGACAAUACCAUUUUCUCAUCACCCAAGAAUUCUCAUCUACUCAACUAAUCUCUAACAAAAACUAGUAGCACACACACUUGACUAAUCUAGAGGACCUUAAUCUCUUAAGAGACCAAAAAGAGAAGGCCAGCCGCAUCAGAGAUAAGAAAAACGGGAUAGUUGCACCCCAUUUUUGGACCUCUAAUUUCUUUAAUUUCAUUAACCACCACACAACCGUCUUCCCCUCUAACUCCAUCUUCCUGAACCUAAUGCCUUUCCCUUUUUACAUGAAUCUUCAUUCUCUCGAAAAUACAAAAUAGACACACACACAAACUAAAAAACAGAAAACAGAGUGAGUGAACGGACAACAAAGACAAGGAACGAUCGAAAAUCCAAAGAGAAAAUUAAGAGAAGGACACGAAGCAGAGGGAACGGGGGGGUCGAGGAGGUUCCGCUGGGUGUUGUUCGAGUUUCUAUUGCAAUUUAUUCGAUCCGAUUUCAAUAGAUGUAGUUCAGUUUUGCUGUUGGAAUCUCUUGUGUGUACUACUCGGAGGAAAUUUUUAAUCGGAAAGCUUGUCUAAAGUUUUGGAUCAAUGUACCAGAGCUCGAGCAUGACAAAUACCCCGGAACCAUUGCAUUUGGAAGCUUGUUUGAAGAGACUUUUUAUAUUUUGAGUCCAUUUUCAUAUUUUCUUUUACUUUCUUGUCUCAUCUAGUAGUUUUAAGUCUUUUAGGUGGUGUAAGAGUUUUUCAAGUCUUUUGUCAUCGCACUUCCCAUUUGUAUUCGAAAACAAAAAAAAAUAGUUAUAAAUGAAAAAUCCAAUUUUUUUUUUAGUU